GUUCAUAACCCUUUGUUGUCCGACUCUGUUGCCUCCGGGGCGACCCUGCCUUCGGGCGGGGGCUCCGGGUGGACACUUCAAACUCUUGCGUAACUUUGCAGUCUGAGUAAACUUAAUUAAUAAAUUAAAACUUUUAACAACGGAUCUCUUGGUUCUGGCAUCGAUGAAGAACGCAGCGAAAUGCGAUAAGUAAUGUGAAUUGCAGAAUUCAGUGAAUCAUCGAAUCUUUGAACGCACAUUGCGCCCCCUGGUAUUCCGGGGGGCAUGCCUGUUCGAGCGUCAUUUCACCACUCAAGCCUCGCUUGGUAUUGGGCAACGCGGUCCGCCGCGUGCCUCAAAUCGACCGGCUGGGUCUUCUGUCCCCUAAGCGUUGUGGAAACUAUUCGCUAAAGGGUGUUCGGGAGGCUACGCCGUAAAACAACCCCAUUUCUAAGGUUGACCUCGGAUCAGGUAGGGAUACCCGCUGAACUUAAGCAUAUC
This 480-nucleotide ribosomal RNA is filed under the name Cladosporium cladosporioides. Its description in RNAcentral is "eukaryotic LSU rRNA". The stretch from base 129 to 282 matches the Rfam family "5.8S ribosomal RNA". Lineage: Eukaryota; Fungi; Ascomycota; Dothideomycetes; Cladosporiales; Cladosporiaceae. The record is from RNAcentral.